RNAcentral lists this ribosomal RNA (253 nucleotides) under uncultured bacterium. RNAcentral describes it as "partial 16S ribosomal RNA". It matches the Rfam family "Bacterial small subunit ribosomal RNA", at positions 524 to 776 of the family's 1533-position model. The record is from RNAcentral.
UACGGGGGGGGCAAGCGUUGUUCGGAAUUACUGGGCGUAAAGGGCUCGUAGGUGGCCAACUAAGUCGGACGUGAAAUCCCUCGGCUUAACCGGGGAACUGCGUCUGAUACUGGAUGGCUUGAGUUCGGGAGAGGGAUGCGGAAUUCCAGGUGUAGCGGUGAGAUGCGUAGAUAUCUGGAGGAACACCGGUGGCGAAGGCGGCAUCCUGGACCGACACUGACGCUGAGGAGCGAAAGCCAGGGGAGCAAACGGG